This 64-nucleotide transfer RNA is filed under the name Nemertopsis tetraclitophila. RNAcentral's name for it is "tRNA-Glu". The record is from RNAcentral. Lineage: Eukaryota; Metazoa; Nemertea; Enopla; Monostilifera; Emplectonematidae.
UUAUUUUUAGUUUAAAUAAAACUUCAAGUUUUCGUCUUGAGGAUGUGAUUAUUCACAAGAUAAA